AUUGAACGCUGGCGGCAUGCCUUACACAUGCAAGUCGAACGGUAACAGGUCUUCGGAUGCUGACGAGUGGCGAACGGGUGAGUAAUACAUCGGAACGUGCCUAGUAGUGGGGGAUAACUACUCGAAAGAGUGGCUAAUACCGCAUGAGAUCUACGGAUGAAAGCAGGGGAUCGCAAGACCUUGUGCUACUAGAGCGGCCGAUGGCAGAUUAGGUAGUUGGUGGGAUAAAAGCUUACCAAGCCGACGAUCUGUAGCUGGUCUGAGAGGACGAUCAGCGACACUGGGACGGGGACACGGCCCAGACUCCUACGGGAGGCAGCAGUGGGGAAUUUUGGACAAUGGGCGAAAGCCUGAUCCAGCAAUGCCGCGUGCAGGAUGAAGGCCUUCGGGUUGUAAGCUGCUUUUGUACGGAACGAAAAGCCCCGGGUUAAUACCCUGGGGUCAUGACGGUACCGUAAGAAUAAGCACCGGCUAACUACGUGCCAGCCGCCGCGGUAA
This 498-nucleotide ribosomal RNA is filed under the name uncultured bacterium. RNAcentral describes it as "partial 16S ribosomal RNA". It matches the Rfam family "Bacterial small subunit ribosomal RNA", at positions 30 to 523 of the family's 1533-position model. The record is from RNAcentral.